GGAGGAUUGGCCGAGUGGUCGAAGGCGCACGCUUGGAAAGCGUGUAUACAGCAAUGUAUCGUGGGUUCGAAUCCCAUGUCCUCCGCCA
This 88-nucleotide transfer RNA is filed under the name Bdellovibrionales bacterium CG11_big_fil_rev_8_21_14_0_20_38_13. RNAcentral's name for it is "tRNA-Ser". It matches the Rfam family "tRNA". Rfam says of the family: Transfer RNA (tRNA) molecules are approximately 80 nucleotides in length. Lineage: Bacteria; Pseudomonadati; Bdellovibrionota; Bdellovibrionia; Bdellovibrionales. RNAcentral also lists the same sequence under 2 other names. The record is from RNAcentral.